ACAGUGGAUGCGAGCAUCUUUGUGGUCAAGUAAGUAAGGGCACAUGGUGGAUGCCUGGGCAUCAGGAGCCGAUGAAGGACGUGGGAGGCCGCGAUAGGCCUCGGGGAGCUGUCAACCAAGCUGUGAUCCGAGGAUUUCCGAAUGGGGAAACCCGGCCAGAGUCAUGUCUGGUCACCUACACCUGAAUAUAUAGGGUGUGUGGAGGGAACGCGGGGAAGUGAAACAUCUCAGUACCCGUAGGAAGAGAAAACAACCGUGAUUCCGUGAGUAGUGGCGAGCGAAAGCGGAUGAGGCUAAACCGUGUACGUGUGAUACCUGGCAGGGGUUGCGUAUGCGGGGUUGUGGGACCCACCGGUCGAGGCUGCCAUCUCGGCGAGGAGUCAGAAAACAUGGUGUUAGCGGAAGACGUCUGGAAAGCGUCAGCGUAGAGGGUGAUACUCCCGUACGUGAAAGCACUGUGUCUCCUGGAGGGGAUCCCAAGUAGCAGCGAGCUCGUGGAAUUUGCUGUGAAUCUGGCGGGACCACCCGCUAAGCCUAAAUACUCCCUGAUGACCGAUAGCGGACUAGUACCGUGAGGGAAAGGUGAAAAGUACCCCGGGAGGGGAGUGAAAUAGUACCUGAAACCAUGUGCCUACAAUCCGUCAGAGCCUCCGUUGUGGGGUGAUGGCGUGCCUUUUGAAGAAUGAGCCUGCGAGUUAGUGAUACGUGGCGAGGUUAACCCGGGUGGGGUAGCCGUAGCGAAAGCGAGUCUGAACAGGGCGUCAGAGUCGCGUGUCCUAGACCCGAAGCGGAGUGAUCUACCCAUGGCCAGGGUGAAGCGCGGGUAAGACCGCGUGGAGGCCCGAACCCACCAGGGUUGAAAACCUGGGGGAUGAGCUGUGGGUAGGGGUGAAAGGCCAAUCAAACUCCGUGAUAGCUGGUUCUCCCCGAAAUGCAUUUAGGUGCAGCGUCGUGUGUUUCUCAUCCGAGGUAGAGCACUGGAUGGCCGAUGGGCCCGACAAGGUUACUGACGUCAGCCAAACUCCGAAUGCGGGUGUGUGAGAGCGCGGCAGUGAGACUGCGGGGGAUAAGCUUCGUAGUCGAGAGGGAAACAGCCCAGAACGCCGGCUAAGGCCCCUAAGUGUGCGCUAAGUGGAAAAGGAUGUGGGGUCGCCCAGACAACCAGGAGGUUGGCUUAGAAGCAGCCAUCCUUGAAAGAGUGCGUAAUAGCUCACUGGUCAAGUGGUCCUGCGCCGAUAAUGUAGCGGGGCUUAAGCGCACCGCCGAAGCCGUGUCAUUCACAUGUUGAGCUCCAUCUGUCUCCUUUUGGGGGGUGGGUGUAGGUGUGUGGAUGGGUAGGGGAGCGUCCUGCACUGGGUGAAGCAGUCGCGUGAGCGGGUGUGGACGGUGUGGGAGUGAGAAUGCAGGCAUGAGUAGCGAAAGCAGAGUGAGAAACUCUGCCGCCGGAUGACCAAGGGUUCCUGGGCCAGGUUAUUCCGCCCAGGGUAAGUCGGGACCUAAGGCGAGGCCGACAGGCGUAGUCGAUGGACAACGGGUUGAUAUUCCCGUACCCGUGUGGAUGCGUCCCUGGCGAGGCUGGUGAUACUAACCGCCCGUGGUGCUGUCCUGCUUUCGGGUGGGGUGGUGGCCAUGCGCGGGAUCUGAGCUGGUAGUAGCCAAGUGAUGGGGUGACGCAGGAGGGUAGCCCCGCCAGUGAGUGGUAGUACUGGUGUAAGCGUGUAGCCAGGAGAGGUAGGCAAAUCCGCUUCUCUGUUAAUGGUGAGACGUGAUGCAUAGCCGAAUGAGGCGAAGUAGGGUGAUCCCAUGCUGCCGAGAAAAGCCUCUAGCGAGUGUCUACGCGGCCCGUACCCCAAACCGACACAGGUGGUCAGGUAGAGAAUACCAAGGCGAUCGGGUGAACUGUGGUUAAGGAACUCGGCAAAAUGCCCCCGUAACUUCGGGAGAAGGGGGGCCGUGUGGCGUGAAGCCCUUCGCGGGCUAGCGUUGUGUGGCCGCAGAGACCAGGGAGAAGCGACUGUUUAUUAAAAACACAGGUCCGUGCGAAGUCGUAAGACGAUGUAUACGGACUGACGCCUGCCCGGUGCUGGAACGUUAAGGGGACCGGUUAGUCCUUCGGGGCGAAGCUGAGAACUUAAGCGCCAGUAAACGGCGGUGGUAACUAUAACCAUCCUAAGGUAGCGAAAUUCCUUGUCGGGUAAGUUCCGACCUGCACGAAUGGCGUAACGACUUCUCCGCUGUCUCAACCACAGGCCCGGCGAAAUUGCACUACGAGUAAAGAUGCUCGUUACGCGCGGCAGGACGGAAAGACCCCGGGACCUUUACUAUAGCUUGGUAUUGGUGCUCGGUUCGGCUUGUGUAGGAUAGGUGGGAGACUGGGAAGCGGUCACGCUAGUGGUCGUGGAGUCAAUCUUGAAAUACCACUCUGGUCGUACUGGGUGUCUAACCUCGGACCAUGAUCUGGUUCAGGGACAGUGCCUGGUGGGUAGUUUAACUGGGGCGGUUGCCUCCCAAAGGGUAACGGAGGCGCCCAAAGGUUCCCUCAGCCUGGUUGGCAAUCAGGUGUUGAGUGUAAGUGCACAAGGGAGCUUGACUGUGAGACUGACGGGUCGAGCAGGGACGAAAGUCGGGACUAGUGAUCCGGCACUGGCUGGUGGAAGCGGUGUCGCUCAACGGAUAAAAGGUACCCCGGGGAUAACAGGCUGAUCUUGCCCAAGAGUCCAUAUCGACGGCAUGGUUUGGCACCUCGAUGUCGGCUCGUCGCAUCCUGGGGCUGGAGUAGGUCCCAAGGGUUGGGCUGUUCGCCCAUUAAAGCGGCACGCGAGCUGGGUUUAGAACGUCGUGAGACAGUUCGGUCCCUAUCCGCCGCGCGCGUUGGAGACUUGUGGAAGGCUGUCCCUAGUACGAGAGGACCGGGACGGACGAACCUCUGGUGUGCCAGUUGUACCGCCAGGUGCAUGGCUGGUUGGCUACGUUCGGAAGGGAUAACCGCUGAAAGCAUCUAAGCGGGAAGCCUGUUCCAAGAUGAGGUCUCCCACCCACUUUGUUGGGGUAAGGCCCCCAGUAGACGACUGGGUUGAUAGGCUGGAGAUGGAAGCACGGUAACGUGUGGAGUUGACCGGUACUAAUAGGCCGAGGGCUUGUCUAC
This 3145-nucleotide ribosomal RNA is filed under the name Actinoalloteichus sp. AHMU CJ021. RNAcentral describes it as "bacterial LSU rRNA". It matches the Rfam family "Bacterial large subunit ribosomal RNA". The record is from RNAcentral. Lineage: Bacteria; Bacillati; Actinomycetota; Actinomycetes; Pseudonocardiales; Pseudonocardiaceae.